RNAcentral lists this ribosomal RNA (513 nucleotides) under uncultured bacterium. RNAcentral's name for it is "bacterial SSU rRNA". It matches the Rfam family "Bacterial small subunit ribosomal RNA", at positions 15 to 518 of the family's 1533-position model. The record is from RNAcentral.
GAUUAUGGCUCAGAACGAACGCUGGCGGCGCGUUUAAGCAUGCAAGUCGAGCGGCAAGGGCCUUCGGGCCCCUAGAGCGGCGGACGGGUGAGUAACACGUGGACAAUCUGCCCCCCGGCCCGGGAUAGCCCAGGGAAACCUGGAUUAAUACCGGAUGAGACGGGACCCGCGAUGGCGGGACCCGGGAAAGGCGCUGCGGCGCCGCCGGGGGAUGAGUCUGCGUCCCAUUAGCUAGACGGCGGGGUAACGGCCCACCGUGGCGACGAUGGGUAGCCGGCCUGAGAGGGUGGACGGCCACAUUGGAACUGAGACACGGUCCAGACUCCUACGGGAGGCAGCAGCUAAGAAUCUUCCGCAAUGGGCGAAAGCCUGACGGAGCCGACGCCGCGUGAACGAAGAAGGCCGUGAGGUUGUAAAGUUCUUUUCGGGAGGGGGAACAACCGUGGCAGGGAAUGGCCGCGGGAUGACGUGAAUCCCGGAAUAAGCCCCGGCUAACUACGUGCCAGCCGCUGC